AGUGGCGGACGGGUGAGUAACACGUAGGUAACCUGCCCCGGAGCGGGGGAUAACAUUUGGAAACAGAUGCUAACACCGCAUAACAACAAAAGCCACAUGGCUUUUGUUUGAAAGAUGGCUUUGGCUAUCACUCUGGGAUGGACCUGCGGUGCAUUAGCUAGUUGGUAAGGUAACGGCCUACCAAGGCGAUGAUGCACAGCCGAGUUGAGAGACUGAUCGGCCACAAUGGAACUGAGACACGGUCCAUACUCCUACGGGAGGCAGCAGUAGGGAAUCUUCCACAAUGGGCGCAAGCCUGAUGGAGCAACACCGCGUGAGUGAAGAAGGGUUUCGGCUCGUAAAGCUCUGUUGUUGGAGAAGAACGUGCGUGAGAGUAACUGUUCACGCAGUGACGGUAUCCAACCAGAAAGUCACGGCUAACUACGUGCCAGCAGCCGCGGUAAUACGUAGGUGGCAAGCGUUAUCCGGGUUUAUUGGGCGUAAAGCGAGCGCAGGCGGUUGCUUAGGUCUGAUGUGAAAGCCUUCGGCUUAACCGAAGAAGUGCAUCGGAAACCGGGCAACUUGAGUGCAGAAGAGGACAGUGGAACUCCAUGUGUAGCGGUGGAAUGCGUAGAUAUAUGGAAGAACACCAGUGGCGAAGGCGGCUGUCUGGUCUGCAACUGACGCUGAGGCUCGAAAGCAUGGGUAGCGAACAGGAUUAGAUACCCUGGUAGUCCAUGCCGUAAACGAUGAGUGCUAGGUGU
Molecule: ribosomal RNA, 743 nt
Filed under: uncultured bacterium
Lineage: Bacteria
Description: bacterial SSU rRNA
Rfam family: Bacterial small subunit ribosomal RNA
Source: RNAcentral